RNAcentral lists this ribosomal RNA (253 nucleotides) under uncultured bacterium. Its description in RNAcentral is "partial 16S ribosomal RNA". It matches the Rfam family "Bacterial small subunit ribosomal RNA", at positions 524 to 776 of the family's 1533-position model. The record is from RNAcentral.
AACGUAGGAGACAAACGUUAUCCGGAAUUACUGGGCGUAAAGCGUGCGCAGGCGGUUUUGUAAGUCAGUUGUGAAAUCCCCGGGCUUAACCUGGGAAUGGCAUUUGGGACUGCAAGGCUGGAGUGCGGCAGAGGAGAGUGGAAUUCCUGGUGUAGCAGUGAAAUGCGUAGAUAUCAGGAGGAACACCGAUGGCGAAGGCAGGUCUCUGGGCUGACACUGACGCUGAUGCACGAAAGCGUGGGGAGCAAACAGG